UCUGCAGUACCAGGACACAGGUUUGAUCCCUGGCCAAGCACAGUGGGUUAAAGGAUCUGGCGUUGCUGCAGCCUGGGUAGAGUUCUCUGUGCUAUAGAUUAGGACCUUGUUUGUGCAUUUUAAGUGUAAUAGUUUGCAUCUACUAAACCCAAACCUUUUCUACUUCUUACUACUGUAAGGGCUUGAUGUAGGUCUUCCUCCUGAUUCAUGGAAGACAGUUUUCCUCCAUGAAGAGAACUCAGGAUAUUUCCACCUUUUGAUUCUACCAUCUCUUGGGGCCUCUGAAUUUGCUGUCUCCAGAUCAUAUGCUUAAAAGCUUCUGGAUGGAGAUGACAUAGUCUUUCUUGUUCAUCUUCCUUUGUUAGGAACUAGUUCUGUAGACAAACAGGAAAUGUAUCUCUGAUUGGGCAACUACCUCCCAGGAUCAACACCAUGAAGUGAAAUAGAGAGGGCACACUUUUGCUGGACAGUUAGCCAUCAAUGCCACAGAAGAUUAAAACUAUGACUACCCCAAAGAUAACACAUGUGAUGCUAUUUAAUAAUAAAGCAAUAACCAGGGCGAUGCAGGAUUUCACAGGGAAGUUUUUAAUAGCGUGAACCCAUGUAUGCAAAGGAUCAAGCUGUGUUCAGGACUGCCCACUCCUCUGAUUGGUUAUGCUUUGGUAUCCUGUCUACCUCGGUCCUCAUCUGAUCACCUAGGAGACUUAAGCUCAAAGCAGCGUUUACUAACAUCUUGUCUCCAAUUAAGCAUCCACUAACAGCUUCAAUGGAUUGCCUCCUGCUCUGAGGGAAAGACUUCCAGCAUCUGUUACAUCGGGGGAAGUCACAGCCUCACUCUUUCCUAGUCAGCAGCUGGUGCACUCUAGGUGAAUGGAGUUGAAAGACUCAUAGUUUCAGUAACUAUCCUGAAGAUCUGACAGCAUGCGAAAGAAAGAUCUAGUUAUGUUUUUAAAGAAUUUUUCAACUCUGAAGGAAUGGCUAAAUUAUGAAGCCCCCAUGGUUUAACUAUCAUAUUACAAAAGAUACAAUAUUGCAAGUGAAGAAACUUUCAAACAUGACCUACUAUUGAGAUUGGAACCUAUUUUUCAAAUCCUCUGUCUUUUGUCUUUUCUAAGGCCGCUCCAGAGGCAUAUGGAGGUUCCCAGGCUAGCGGUCUAAUUGGAGCUGUAGCCGCCGGCCUAUGCCACAGCCACAGUAACACUAGAUCUGAGCCCUGUGGUGUAGGUGGCAGACGCGGCUCGUAUCCCGUGUUGCCGUGGCUCUGGCGUAGGCCAGUGGCUACAGCGCCCAUUCGACCCCUAGCCUGGGAACCGCCAUAUGCUGCAGGAGCGGCCCAAGAAAAGGCAAAAAGACAAAAAAAAAAAAAGGAAUUGGAGGAGUUCCUGUCACAGUGCAGUGGGUUAAGAAUGUGACUGCAGUGGCUCAGGUCGCUGAAUAGGUGAGCAUUUGAUCCCUGGACUGACAUGGUGGGUUAAAGGAUCUGGAGUUGCUAAGUUGCAAGCAUCACAUUCCAUUGGCCAGCAUUUAAACUCAUGGCUGCACAUAACUACUUCAAGGAGGAUGAGAAAUACUGUCUUACUAGGAAAGCUGCUUAUCCAGAUAAAUGUGGGGGUUUUAUACCAGAGGAAUAAGGGAGAAGGACUAUUUGGAAACAAACAACUGUCUCUACUGCCUUGAUUCCUACUCAUAGUUUUCUGACUUCUGUCUUUGCUGCUGCACAAAAUUGUCCAUUUUCCAUUCCGGUUUCCAAAGCCUGUGACCUCUUUUCAGUCAGUAGGGCAUUUUUCCCUGAAAUGUUGUCCAAUUCUAUUGCUAUAAAUUUCCUGAAAUUCCCUAUUAGAGUUUACAAAUGCCCUUCCCUUUGUUGUAUUCUUGUAAUUGUGAGAGGCAAAAUUUUAAAGCAAUGAAUGGGUUCAUUGUCUAAUAUCUCCUACAUGUUUUUUUUUUUUUAAUUUGUUGAUGACUAGCAGCAUAAAGUAUCAACAAAGAUUUAAAUACUACAUCUUGAUUUUCAGUGAUUAUAUCAUAGAAUCAUGUAUACUAGAUCUUGUAUAUACCUUUUUCUUUCCAUAGAAUGUUAAUACUGUAAAGCUAGGGUUUUAUCUGGUCUUCAAAUGCAGUCACAAAAUAACUAAAAAUCUUUCCUGGAGUUGAAUUAUCUGUCAUGUAUCUGUCAUUUGUGUUGAUAUUAACUAAAGCUAGUUGACCAUAAUAUUCUUUUAUGCACCAAUGUUU
Molecule: long non-coding RNA, 2235 nt
Filed under: Sus scrofa (pig)
Lineage: Eukaryota; Metazoa; Chordata; Mammalia; Artiodactyla; Suidae
Description: lncRNA (ENSSSCG00000060130.1)
Source: RNAcentral